GGGGGCAAGAGGGGGCUGGGAGCCCAGGCAUAUAAAGCUGGAGGAGGGUGCAGGUCCUGGAGGAGGGUGCGGGUGCUGGAAGAAGAUGGCCUUGGUGGAGAAGAGGCGGCGGAGGCGGCAUCGGGCUGGGCAGCCCAUGGAGGGGCUGGGGAGAGAUGCUCAGGAAAUGAAGGAUUCUGUUAAAAGCUCGGACUACAUAGAAAGACUGGCACAUAAAUACAUGGUAACUUUUAUUCUAAUUGCUAUUUCUUUAUCCCCCUGUUAAACUGUAAUUUAGCUUUAGUUAGCUGCUUUGUCAGUAGCCUGAUGGUGCAGAUAGCUGUGCUGGAAAAUAUUUCAUGGGGAACAUGUGUGAAUAAUCAAUUCAAAUGGUAUCACCUGCAAAGCAACAAAAAAGGAGGGAGGAAGCUUUUGGGGGAAGAAUAAAGGGCUUCCAUUUUCUCCCUUUUCUUGCUUGUACAACCCAAUCAGCAACACAAAUGUGGGAUGUUUGGAAAGACAAGCUGAAAAGCUGAAAGCUUUGGAAAAACACAGCAUCUAUGAAGUGUGUCGUAGAGUCAAGCACAGAGUCAGAGUCUGAAUCCAGCGCUGAGGCCGUGCCUAGCCUGCUUGCUGAAGGACUCAAGAAGGCAAGGGACUCUAAGGGAUCACAGUUUUUAGAUCCUUAUGAUGGCGAUUCAGAAGAUGCAUCCGUAUACUCUGACUGCAGCUUGAAUUCUUUAAAUAGUAUAAAAGUUGCACCAUGGGUGAACAGUGCCUCAAAAGCGAUGGCUUUGGAGGAUGCUGAUCCUUCAGAAGAUGAAGAGUCUUCCCCUGAAACUCUGCAUUGGCUCUGUCCAGAAACAAAAAUUGGUGAAAUCCACACCCAGAUACCAACUGACUGUAAAGCACCUCCAGAACUUUCUACCCAACAGAAGGAUUUCCCAAGAAGCCUGUCGCAAUCCUCUGAACUGACUAGAGCCACAGAAGCAUUUCCCUCCAUGUGGCUGACACCUGACCGUUCCUUACUGAUGGCUACUAAUUAA
This 1025-nucleotide long non-coding RNA is filed under the name Anas platyrhynchos platyrhynchos (common mallard). RNAcentral describes it as "lncRNA (ENSAPLG00000027210.1)". Lineage: Eukaryota; Metazoa; Chordata; Aves; Anseriformes; Anatidae. The record is from RNAcentral.